Molecule: ribosomal RNA, 538 nt
Filed under: uncultured Methanomicrobiales archaeon
Lineage: Archaea; Methanobacteriati; Methanobacteriota; Methanomicrobia; Methanomicrobiales
Description: bacterial SSU rRNA
Rfam family: Archaeal small subunit ribosomal RNA
Source: RNAcentral
GCGCGAAAACUUUACAAUGCGGGAAACCGUGAUAAGGGAACUCCGAGUGCCCGUAAAAUCGGGCUGUCCACCAGUGCAAAUAACUGGUGAAGAAAGGGCCGGGCAAGACCGGUGCCAGCCGCCGCGGUAAUACCGGCGGCUCGAGUGGUGGCCACUAUUACUGGGCUUAAAGCGUUCGUAGCUGGUCUGUUAAGUCUCUGGGGAAAUCUACUGGCUUAACCAAUAGGCAUCUCAGGGAUACUGGCAGACUAGGGACCGGGAGAGGUGAGGGGUACUCCAGGGGUAGGAGUGAAAUCCUGUAAUCCUUGGGGGACCACCUGUGGCGAAGGCGCCUCACCAGAACGGCUCCGACAGUGAGGGACGAAAGCUGGGGGAGCAAACCGGAUUAGAUACCCGGGUAGUCCCAGCUGUAAACGAUGCGCGUUAGGUGUAUCGGUGACCACGAGUCACCGGAGGUCGCCGAAGAGAAAUCGUGAAACGUGCCGCCGUGGGAAGUACGGUCGCAAGGCUAGAAACUUAAGGAAUUGGGACGGGGGUA